Molecule: ribosomal RNA, 621 nt
Filed under: uncultured fungus
Lineage: Eukaryota; Fungi
Description: SSU rRNA
Rfam family: Eukaryotic small subunit ribosomal RNA
Source: RNAcentral
CUCGUAGUUGAACCUUGGGUCUGGCUGGCCGGUCCGCCUCACCGCGAGUACUGGUCCGGCUGGACCUUUCCUUCUGGGGAACCUCAUGGCCUUCACUGGCUGUGGGGGGAACCAGGACUUUUACUGUGAAAAAAUUAGAGUGUUCAAAGCAGGCCUUUGCUCGAAUACAUUAGCAUGGAAUAAUAGAAUAGGACGUGUGGUUCUAUUUUGUUGGUUUCUAGGACCGCCGUAAUGAUUAAUAGGGAUAGUCGGGGGCGUCAGUAUUCAGCUGUCAGAGGUGAAAUUCUUGGAUUUGCUGAAGACUAACUACUGCGAAAGCAUUCGCCAAGGAUGUUUUCAUUAAUCAGGGAACGAAAGUUAGGGGAUCGAAGACGAUCAGAUACCGUCGUAGUCUUAACCAUAAACUAUGCCGACUAGGAAUCGGACGGGAUUCUAUAAUGACCCGUUCGGCACCUUACGAGAAAUCAAAGUUUUUGGGUUCUGGGGGGAGUAUGGUCGCAAGGCUGAAACUUAAAGAAAUUGACGGAAGAGCACCACAAGGCGUGGAGCCUGCGGCUUAAUUUGACUCAACACGGGGAAACUCACCAGGUCCAGACAAAAUAAGGAUUGACAGAUUGAGAG